UACGUAGGGACCAAGCGUUGUUCGGAUUUACUGGGCGUAAAGGGCGCGUAGGCGGUGCGGUAACUCACUUGUGAAAUCUCUGAGCUUAACUCAGAACGGCCAAGUGAUACUGCAGUACUAGAGUGCGGAAGGGGCAAUCGGAAUUCUUGGUGUAGCGGUGAAAUGCGUAGAUAUCAAGAGGAACACCUGAGGUGAAGACGGGUUGCUGGGCCGACACUGACGCUGAUGCGCGAAAGCCAGGGGAGCAAACGGG
Molecule: ribosomal RNA, 253 nt
Filed under: uncultured bacterium
Lineage: Bacteria
Description: partial 16S ribosomal RNA
Rfam family: Bacterial small subunit ribosomal RNA
Source: RNAcentral